This 511-nucleotide ribosomal RNA is filed under the name Acinetobacter bereziniae. RNAcentral describes it as "bacterial SSU rRNA". It matches the Rfam family "Bacterial small subunit ribosomal RNA", at positions 372 to 873 of the family's 1533-position model. The record is from RNAcentral. Lineage: Bacteria; Pseudomonadati; Pseudomonadota; Gammaproteobacteria; Moraxellales; Moraxellaceae.
UGGGUGGUACCCUGAUCCAGCCAUGCCGCGUGUGUGAAGAAGGCCUUAUGGUUGUAAAGCACUUUAAGCGAGGAGGAGGCUCUUUUGGUUAAUACCCAAGAUGAGUGGACGUUACUCGCAGAAUAAGCACCGGCUAACUCUGUGCCAGCAGCCGCGGUAAUACAGAGGGUGCGAGCGUUAAUCGGAUUUACUGGGCGUAAAGCGUGCGUAGGCGGCUUUUUAAGUCGGAUGUGAAAUCCCCGAGCUUAACUUGGGAAUUGCAUUCGAUACUGGGAAGCUAGAGUAUGGGAGAGGAUGGUAGAAUUCCAGGUGUAGCGGUGAAAUGCGUAGAGAUCUGGAGGAAUACCGAUGGCGAAGGCAGCCAUCUGGCCUAAUACUGACGCUGAGGUACGAAAGCAUGGGGAGCAAACAGGAUUAGAUACCCUGGUAGUCCAUGCCGUAAACGAUGUCUACUAGCCGUUGGGGUCUUUGAGACUUUAGUGGCGCAGCUAACGCGAUAAGUAGACCCGCC